Acanthaster planci (crown-of-thorns starfish) is the source of this 1144-nucleotide long non-coding RNA. The record is from RefSeq and is a predicted model, not a curated record. Lineage: Eukaryota; Metazoa; Echinodermata; Asteroidea; Valvatida; Acanthasteridae.
ACAUAUCAAAUGUAAAGUAAAAAACAAAUAGGUCUAACAUGUAGGAAAUUCUACUUUAUGAUAUGGCCGGACCUUCUUAUCUGCAGUGAAGAAUGAUGAUGGCAAGUGCAGACCAGCAGUGUGUGUCAUCAUGGAUGAGAAAAGUCUACUCACAUCAACAUCAUUCAAGUUGAUGGUCGAACGGGAACAAGUGUGCUGCUGUGGCGAUAUUGUAACAGCUUUCGCGUGCUUUGUGAGUGCUUUCUACGUCUUUCAUUUGAAGUACCCUGUAACACACAUCAAAACACUGGAAUUCACGCAGAUCGCCUUACUGGGUAUUAAGGACAAAUGUCCAGUUCAGAAAACGGUACUCACUUUGAUCUCAAGGUUGAACAAGUUCACACAAAAGAAAGAGGAUUAAGAUGCCCCAACCCAGUGACCAGAGUCAACUUGUUUAUUGUUGUUACUUGUUAAAAACAAGUUUUAAUGUUUGUAAGUUUUAAAUACAAGUUUUAAAAUUGGGUGGCGCGGCAGAGAUCUAUGUCGGGAACUGGGGGUAUAGGGUUCUGUUAAUGGACAUGUGUAGUACUUCAGGUUUGGACAAUGAUAUCAAAUGUGAACUAGGUAAGGUUUUCGGUAACACCAUGUACAAGGAAGAAUCUCUCCUUGAGUGUGUGGUUCUGAGAAGAACUAGUGGUGAACACUUGACGUUACAAACAGUAUCAUACGGUUCGGAACAUCGUGAUUCUUCCUUGUACAUGGCGUUACCACAAACCUAUCCUAGUUCAGUACCUCCACCAUGCAUAACUUCAUUGCAUACAUACAUGUACAGUCUUGUGUUUGAUUAUGAUGUGAAUUAAGAUGUCUAAGAGUUUAUUAAUAGAGCAACUAAAGAACUGUCAUUAAAACAAGUUUUAAAAUUAUGUGACAUGUGGCGGAGAUCCUUGUUGGGGACUGUGAUGGGGGGUAUGGGGUUUGGGGAAUAGGGUGUUGUUUGGAAAUGACUUCAACUUGAAAAAGGGGGGGGGGCUUGCUGACACCACAAGGCAGAAUGGCCUGUACAUGCUUGCAACUUCAUCCACAUGACAAAUUACCAGCUUUUGAUUUUUACUUAAUCUCUAACUUUCAGUGUGAUUGAUUUUACCUUGAAUGUCAAAUCCUUAUU